RNAcentral lists this ribosomal RNA (445 nucleotides) under uncultured bacterium. RNAcentral describes it as "partial 16S ribosomal RNA". It matches the Rfam family "Bacterial small subunit ribosomal RNA", at positions 354 to 796 of the family's 1533-position model. The record is from RNAcentral.
GUGAGGAAUAUUGCGCAAUGGAGGCAACUCUGACGCAGCCAUGCCGCGUGCAGGAAGAAGGCGCUACGCGUUGUAAACUGCUUUUAACCGGGAAGAAACCCCAGGACGUGUCCUGGGUUGACGGUACCGGAGGAAUAAGCACCGGCUAACUUCGUGCCAGCAGCCGCGGUAAUACGAAGGGUGCAAGCGUUAUCCGGAUUCAUUGGGUUUAAAGGGUGCGUAGGCGGAGCGUUAAGUCAGUGGUGAAAUCCUGCAGCUUAACUGUAGACUUGCCAUUGAUACUGGCGCUCUUGAGUGCGCUUGAAGUGGGCGGAAUGUGCCGUGUAGCGGUGAAAUGCUUAGAUAUGGCACAGAACACCAAUUGCGAAGGCAGCUCACUAAGGCGAUACUGACGCUGAGGCACGAAAGCGUGGGUAUCGAACAGGAUUAGAAACCCGUGUAGUCC